CUGAAAGCACUUACCAGCAAUCCUUGUGUUUUUCCUGCCGGCUCCAGCCUGAGCUCAGCCAAGGUUGCCAUCUUGGACACAGCCAGUGAACUUAUCCUUUUAGGGUACUUGGGGCUUUCCUUCAGACCCAGCCUGUAGGGCAGUAGAUGCCCUUAUAGGACUGGGUGGGUGGCCCAGAAUGAACCCGUGUGUCUGGGAACCUGUGGUGGUGGCUGUGUGACAUCAUCGAGUGAGGGGGAAGGAGGGGUGUGGGCAGCUGGGCUGAGGAGGAAGAGGGUCCCCACCAGAAGUUGCUCCAGGAAAUGUUAUGGUUCUGUAGGUGUGACUACUGUCUAUGUCCCUUGGAUUUAUUGUUGUAUGUUUUGUUCUGAUAUAUUUAUAAAGCAUACUUUAACUUUCAAAACUGUCUGGGUUUAGACAAUCUGCUUCUGUGGUGGCCAAGAGGCAGCUGUGUUGCCUGGCUGAAUGUGCUGGCCUGGAGCUCAUUUCCCACCCCAACCCCCUUUCUGCCUUCUCCCGCCCACAUUCACUCCAGCUUUGGUGAGUGAGGGGAGGGGAGGACUAGAAAGGUGGGCCUAGUGUAGGAACCAGGAAAGCUCUGCAACCCCCCCCCCCGCCCGUCCCCAUCUUUUGCCACUGAAGUUCCUCUCUGAGCACACCUUAUGCAGGAGGAGCGGGAAGCAACUGGGCGUGUUGGUUAGCUUGAUACGCACUCGAGUCGUAAGAAGCAAGUCAGUGGAGAGAAAUGUAAGACUAGACUCAGUUUGACUCAAGCAGCAAGAAGAGGCAGAUUUUAUUACUGUAAGAGGUGGCAACUCCCCCCCCCCCCCCCCACACACACAAACCCUGUGGCAAGACAUCUAAGGGUACAGAGGUCUGAGGAUCAGUUCUGUAUCAGAAACUAAAGAAGGGUAAGGGCCUGGCUAAGCAAGGCCCAGGAAUUGCCUUUUGGGUAAACUGUUUUCUUGAACUGUGGGUGGGCAUUAAGUCAGGUGCCUGUUUUUAUGUGUUUGCUGCUUUCUGUAAUUCGUAGGCAAUAGAUUUCUUAAAGCUUGGGCCUAUUUUCUGGUGAUGAUUUGGGGAGGGGAUGCCCUUUAAAAGUUAUCUGGGGAAAGGGAACCUGAGAGAAGAACUGUGAUGGCGAAUGUACUGUGUAUGUUUAUCUUGUUGAUUGUUAAAUAAAAUACUGUUUGGCCAAUGAAAUGGCAAGUUAGGCAGGACCAGGAGUCAAAGAGGAUUCUGGGAAAUGUAGUAGAGAAGUGAUGAUCCAGACAGGAAAUGACAUAGCAAGGAGACUCAUAUUUAAGUGAAGGAGAAACAGGAAGGGUCCCUUUUUCCCCUCUGCUCCUGCAGCACAAUGUGAUCCACCAGCAAGGAGGGAUGCCAAUAAGGCAUCCGAUAAGCAGGCCCUACCUCCUAAAGUUCCUAGGACUUUCCAAAACGUCACCAUUGUUCGGGCACCAAGCAUUCAGCACAUCUUGUACUUGAACCAUGACAUCUUACCAAGGACAACUCCAAAGGAGCACCCUGAGAAGAUGAAAGGGAGAACAGUCAAGGAUCAAAAGCUUCCUUUCCACAUUCUUCCCCUGUCUUAAUAAAUGGAAUGAGAGCGAUUACCCAAAUACUAAUUAUUCACAUCCUCAUAGUUCCAAGGCCCAGUAACAAAAGUCAUAACUAUGCAAAAAGACGUUGUGUGAGCCCCCACCCUUAUCCAUCACUCCCCUCUCACCUACCACACGAAGCCCCUUUUGGACCAGUCUCCUGUCUAAUGAGUGUGGGGAUAUGGUAAACAUCUGGCAGAGUGAUGCAAACUAUUUCAAAGUCUACUUUCAGAUCUUCCAAAAAUCUAAUGGCAGGGCACUGAGGACAACUGGAGCUGGAGAAUUGCUCAUUCUGCUGAACGUAGUGGAAGCAUGCCAGGUCACCAUGGGAAAAACAAGAAAUUAAAGUAGAUAGUGACCCCAGGGAAGGGGAAACAAUGAAUGAACCAAACAAGAGACAUUGUCAGGGAAAUUUAUAGAGCUCCUGAAUACUUUGAGAUGCUCCUUCAGGGCUGGAGAGAGGGUUUAGUCAGUAGAGAGCUUGCCAUGUCAACAUGAGGACCUGAGCUUAGCUGGGCAGGUGUAAAACGUGGGCAGGUGACAUGUGUCUGUACCCCCAGCUCUAAGAAGGCAGAGACCGGUGAAUUCCUGUCGUCCCAGGUUUAAUGAGAUAACCUGUUUCAAAAAAUCAGAUGGAAGCGUUGGAGAGAUGCCUGAGAGGUUAAGAGUACUUGGUUUUGCAGAGGACACCUCAUGGUGGCUCAAACCAUCUAUAAAUCUGCUUCUAGAGGGUAAGAUGCCCUCUUGUGACCUCCGUGGGCUCCUGGCAUGCACAAGGUCCAUACACCUAUAGGCAAAAUACUUACACACAUUGAAAACAUUUGAGAAAAAUAAAAUGAGAGUGACUGAAGCAGACACUUGAAGAGGACUUUUGGUUUCCAUCUGCACAUACAUGUACACACACACACACAUGCUCAUCUGUAUACACACCAACAUACUAUACAUACAAAGUUAAUUAGUUGAAAGAAAACAAAAUGCCCUGUUUGCACUGUUGACUGGAAAAGUGAAGACUGUAAUGCUGUUACACAGUCAUUUGAUUAAAAAAUUUCCAAAGCAAAUGAUGUAUUUCUUUGCUCAAACUAAGAAUGAAUGCAUGUUUAUAAUUAUAAUUUUUA
This 2716-nucleotide long non-coding RNA is filed under the name Cricetulus griseus (Chinese hamster). Its description in RNAcentral is "lncRNA (ENSCGRG00015039360.1)". Lineage: Eukaryota; Metazoa; Chordata; Mammalia; Rodentia; Cricetidae. The record is from RNAcentral.